RNAcentral lists this ribosomal RNA (1453 nucleotides) under Olivibacter sp. RNAcentral describes it as "bacterial SSU rRNA". Lineage: Bacteria; Pseudomonadati; Bacteroidota; Sphingobacteriia; Sphingobacteriales; Sphingobacteriaceae. The record is from RNAcentral.
UCAGGAUGAACGCUAGCGGCAGGCCUAAUACAUGCAAGUCGGACGGGAUUCACCAGCUUGCUGGUGAUGAGAGUGGCGCACGGGUGCGUAACGCGUGAGCAACCUGCCCAUAUCAGGGGGAUAGCCCGGAGAAAUCCGGAUUAAUACCGCAUGAGACAGCACUUCCACCUGGGAGAGCUGUUAAAUAUUUAUAGGAUAUGGAUGGGCUCGCGUGACAUUAGCUAGUUGGCGGGGUAACGGCCCACCAAGGCGACGAUGUCUAGGGGCUCUGAGAGGAGAAUCCCCCACACUGGUACUGAGACACGGACCAGACUCCUACGGGAGGCAGCAGUAAGGAAUAUUGGUCAAUGGGGGGAACCCUGAACCAGCCAUGCCGCGUGCAGGAAGACGGCCCUACGGGUUGUAAACUGCUUUUGUACGGGAAUAACCCCCAAUACGUGUAUUGGGCUGAAUGUACCGUAAGAAUAAGGAUCGGCUAACUCCGUGCCAGCAGCCGCGGUAAUACGGAGGAUCCGAGCGUUAUCCGGAAUUAUUGGGUUUAAAGGGUGCGUAGGCGGCUUUCUAAGCAGUGGUGAAAGACGGUGGCUCAACCAUCGCAGUGCCGUUGAUACUGGGGAGCUUGAAUGUACUUGAGGUAGGCGGAAUGUGGCAAGUAGCGGUGAAAUGCAUAGAUAUGCCACAGAACACCGAUUGCGAAGGCAGCUUACUAAGGUAUGAUUGACGCUGAGGCACGAAAGCGUGGGGAUCGAACAGGAUUAGAUACCCUGGUAGUCCACGCCCUAAACGAUGAACACUCGGUGCCGGCGAUAGACGGUCGGCSCCCAMGCGAAAGCGUUAAGUGUUCCACCUGGGGAGUACGCCCGCAAGGGUGAAACUCAAAGGAAUUGACGGGGGCCCGCACAAGCGGAGGAGCAUGUGGUUUAAUUCGAUGAUACGCGAGGAACCUUACCCGGGCUUGAAAGUUACUGAAGAUAUCAGAGAUGAUAUCGUCCUUCGGGACAGGAAACUAGGUGCUGCAUGGCUGUCGUCAGCUCGUGCCGUGAGGUGUUGGGUUAAGUCCCGCAACGAGCGCAACCCCUGUGGAUAGUUGCCAGCAUUUAAAGGUGGGGACUCUAUCCAGACUCCUGUGCAAACAGAGAGGAAGGCGGGGACGACGUCAAGUCAUCAUGGCCCUUACGUCCGGGGCUACACACGUGCUACAAUGGCCGGUACAGAGGGCCGCUACACUGCAAAGUGGUGCCAAUCUCUGAAAGCCGGUCACAGUUCGGAUCGGGGUCUGCAACUCGACCCCGUGAAGUUGGAUUCGCUAGUAAUCGCGUAUCAGCAAUGACGCGGUGAAUACGUUCCCGGGCCUUGUACACACCGCCCGUCAAGCCAUGAAAGCCGGGGGUACCUGAAGCAUGUAACCGAACAGGAGCGUGUUAGGGUAAAACUGGUAAUUGGGGCUAAGUCG